AAUAGAUACCCGGGUAGUCCACGCCCUAAACGUUGCGAACUAGGUGUUGGUCGGAUUGACCCGAUCAGUGCCGCAACUAACGCAUUAAGUUCGCCGCCUGGGGACUACGGCCGCAAGGUUAAACUCAAAGGAAUAGGCGGGGGCCCGCACAAGCAGCGGAGCGUGUGGUUUAAUUCGAAGCAACGCGCAGAACCUUACCAGCCCUUGACAUGGGUCGGACCGGCGCAGAGAUGCGCUUUCCCCGCAAGGGGCCGACUGCACAGGUGCUGCAUGGCUGUCGUCAGCUCGUGUCGUGAGAUGUUGGGUUAAGUCCCGCAACGAGCGCAACCCUCGUCUUUAGUUGCUACCAUUUAGUUGGGCACUCUAAAGAAACUGCCGGUGAUAAGCCGGAGGAAGGUGGGGAUGACGUCAAGUCCUCAUGGCCCUUACGCGCUGGGCUACACACGUGCUACAAUGGCGGUGACAAUGGGCAGCAAACUCGCGAGAGUGAGCAAAUCCCAAAAAGCCGUCUCAGUUCGGAUUGUUCU
This 527-nucleotide ribosomal RNA is filed under the name uncultured bacterium. RNAcentral's name for it is "bacterial SSU rRNA". It matches the Rfam family "Bacterial small subunit ribosomal RNA", at positions 777 to 1304 of the family's 1533-position model. The record is from RNAcentral.